GUGAGUGCCUAGCCUAUUGGAUAUCACUGUCAUCUACACAGGACAGUCAUUACCUUUCUAUUAAUACUUUGUUUUUUAAUUUCACAUUAAUUUCCAUAUUGUAUAAAUGACUGGAAAAAACUUGAGCCCCUGCCCCUGUAUAAUCAUGUGCACAUCCCUGUUCUAGCUCCAAGGUGAAUCUUCACUGCUCAUGUUCUCCUCAGAAGCAGUCACCUCACUCCCCUCAGGUUACUGUACACAUGCACCAACUGCCUGCUUCAGGUUUGGAUGGAGCUUCAUGGUUGUCUUUUGGAGAAAUGAGCAGUCAAGUUGUGUUUGAAAUUUGAUUUUUUUCAGGGGCAAAAGGAGCCUCUGCAUUCUUGUCAAAUAUGUAAAUAGCAUGUUUUUGCAGGUGCUAAAAAACAGACUCUGAGUGUGUCUGUGUGUGUGUCUGUGUGUGUGUAUAUAUCUUGCAGUACUCUGAGAAGAAUAAUAAGCAUAUUUCUGCGGUGAAUUUUGAAGAUUCAUCUGAGAGUUAGGAGGGCUGAUCAUUCCCUUACCCUUUAGAUGUCUGUCUAUGUCUGUUUUUGUGUGAUAAUGAAAGAAUCCCAACUCAAAAAGGCUCUGUUGAUGUUUUUUUUUGUUGUUCAUUCAUAUUCAAACCACUAUUUUAUAUCACUGCUAAUACGCCAAGACCAUUUUAUGGUAUUUAGCUUUAUUAUUUCUAUACAUUUUGCAAGGAAAGAAACCAAGGCCUUCACUAAAAUUUCCAUAAACUUUAGGAAAGGACCUCUGGUUGUUUAAGGGGGUCAUUACUGCAAAAAAAUAUUCUUCCUAAAUUUUGAAGGUCAAACCUUAGAUCCAUUAGGUUUAAAUAGAAAAAGCAUUAAAAUAUGUUAGGAUUAUAGCAUAUGACAAAUGUGUGCCUCUCAGUGGCAUAACUACUUUGUCUGCUGGCUCUGCAGUCGAUUGACGCUCCCCAGCGUUCAAGUCACAUGACAUAUUUAACCGGAUGUAGCUGCAAGACGGAGCCUCGUUCACCCUCCGUUUCAACUUAUCUCAAAAGUGAGAACCUCAAACUAUAUACCAGUUUUUAAAUUGUGUUGAUAGGCCAAAUAAAACCAGAGUUAUGAUAAAUUAUGUCCGCGAUACUUUUUUUCUGCUUAUUUUGAUCACGUUCGGCGCUCGAUCACGCUGUAUGAGACAGGAAAACAUAGCAUGCAGACAUUAGCGACAGCUCUUACAGGCGGAAAAGGCAUGCCAAAAGAAAAAAAAAACACACCACAACAUCUCUCCUAUUGGUGGAAAACUUCACCACAACAACCAAUCCAAAAUUAUAUGGUGACUGAUUGACAAGGGGCGGGCGCUUACGUUCUUCCUGCAAUAUGAGAAGGGAGGGAGGAACUCUCAGCAGGGAUGCAGUCUGGGAAACGUAGUUGCAAACCUAGCGACUUUGUUGUUAGAUUCAAUGACUUUUCAGACCCCCUAACGACUUUUUUUUAGAAAGAAAGGGAAUUUUAUCGACUUCCUCUGGAGUUUAGAGACUCUGACAUGAAGCAGGCUUUCCUUACUGAGGAGUUAGCAACGCUGCUAAGGGUGCAGAGCCACACAUGCGCUCCGAGCUCUGCAUGGGAGACUAGAGCUGAGAGAGCUGCAGCAGUUAGCAGGUUUCACCCUCAGAGACCACCAGGAGUUCAUGUUGAGGCAUUUUCAGUUUGUUUGUUUUUUUGCCAUAGACACUGUCAGCACAAUCUGCAGUUACACUAACAAAAAUGCUGCAAAAAACAAAGAAUUAUGGAAAAAUUACACAUGGACUGACAUAGAGGAGGAUCUACACAAGUUUUUUACAUCAUGUUUUACAUCAUGCAUCAUUUACAUCAUGUUUUUUUGUAGUGGCAUAAAUAAAAAGUGACAUUUGUGAGACUAUACAGUGUUUUGUAAAUAAUUUUACAAAGAACGCCUGGGCCAUUGCCUGCAUUUUGAUGUAAAUAGAGGUAAAUUACUAUGUUCUUUGUUAAAAAUUUGCAUAUGUUUUUAAGUUUACAAUUUUUAUUUGAAGUUUAAGUUUUAAAAACAGUUCAUCACACAUAUUUGUGGUUUAAUUUCACAUUAAUUUCCAUAUUGUAUAAAUGACUGGAAAAAACUUGAGCCCCUGCCCCUGUAUAAUCAUGUGCACGUCCCUGUUCUAGCUCCAAGGUGAAUCUUCACUGCUCAUGUUCUCCUCAGAAG
Non-coding RNA from Xyrichtys novacula (pearly razorfish), 2208 nucleotides. NCBI's taxonomy places the organism in Eukaryota, Metazoa, Chordata, Actinopteri, Labriformes, Labridae. The record is from the annotation of a GenBank genome assembly.